CCUUUUCUUACUGCGCGAUGACCGUGUGGACGAGCAACGUCAUUUAGUCAGGAAACAUCGAGAGAAGCACGAAUGAUGAACUGACAACUUUCAAUCGCCCUCAGCGUGCGGGUCUGUGAUGGCUCAUGAAGAACCGGUGUCUCAUCCAGAGUGUUCCCCGUCUCAUGCCCCCUGCUUCUAGGACAGCCUUUGGACCACUCUGAACCUGCAUUAGGACAACCGGUUACUAACAACAGGUCGCUGUCACCUUCCUGUCAGUCAACAGUGAGAGGAUGCACACUGUGCACGGAGAGGAUGAGGACUGACUAUUUUAUACAUGAACUUCAACAGUUAUUUUCCCCCGGACAAGAAAACAGAAGAUGAAAGCCUUACUGCUAGAUGGACAAAACAAAUUUGAAAAGCAGUCUUAGGGAAAUCCAUCAGCUCUUUACCCAACAUUAGUGUGGUUUGUCUAUGCAUUCCAUCACAUUCUCACUGUGAAAAGUUAAAUAGUGUAAAUAAACUGGUGAAUUCUAGAUUUUAGUGGUUAGAUCUGCUGCCUUUGGACCCAGAGACAGCAGUUUUGGAUCCCACCUCC
Molecule: long non-coding RNA, 577 nt
Organism: Scleropages formosus (Asian bonytongue)
Lineage: Eukaryota; Metazoa; Chordata; Actinopteri; Osteoglossiformes; Osteoglossidae
Exons: 3
Source: RefSeq, a predicted model, not a curated record